This is a long non-coding RNA of Pieris brassicae (large cabbage white), 375 nucleotides long. RefSeq lists it as uncharacterized. The record is from RefSeq and is a predicted model, not a curated record. NCBI's taxonomy places the organism in Eukaryota, Metazoa, Arthropoda, Insecta, Lepidoptera, Pieridae. The transcript is spliced from 2 exons.
GAGUCGUCAAUCAAAACAGCACGAACAAAUUCUCAAGUCGUUAAAUCAGCCAAAACGAGAGACGCAAGGAUUCCAUAAUGAUGGUCUGGGGCAGAUUUCUGUUCCUGUUUCAGGAUCAUUUGUCAAUCUAAUAGGCACACGAUGACGCCGACGCUGUGACUUUUUGGGCUAAGGCAGGCCAGUUUCCUCGCGAUGUUUUCCAUUUGAAGGAAUGUGAAAUAGGUGCAUAGUCGGUGAUCCAACCUAUGCCCUCAGGAAUUAUAGUCAUACGAUAAAGCUGCUAGGCCAUACACCGCUUACAUUAACAAAAACGUUUCAAACCACGACAUAGUUAUAUGAUGGCGAAUUUACAGUAAAGAAUUCUGAUAAAUAUUA